GACACUUGACAAUUAUGCAGUCGCGACAUACUUGGCGAUACACCAUUCAUUUUGUUGAAGUCACUUGAAGUGGGAUGCGAGGAAAGCACCAGUAAAAGAAUUCAGACAACAGAGGAGUCCGAUGCAACAUCAAGUCAGUUCAGAUUCCAUCCCUGAUGCCUGAACCUUACCC
Polypterus senegalus (gray bichir) is the source of this 172-nucleotide long non-coding RNA. RefSeq lists it as uncharacterized. Lineage: Eukaryota; Metazoa; Chordata; Cladistia; Polypteriformes; Polypteridae. The transcript is spliced from 3 exons. The record is from RefSeq and is a predicted model, not a curated record.